CGGAGUGUAGUUCAGUUUGGUAGAACGCUCGGUUUGGGACCGAGAGGCUCGCAGGUUCAAAUCCUGUCACUCCGAC
Molecule: transfer RNA, 76 nt
Filed under: Streptomyces phage Karp
Lineage: Duplodnaviria; Heunggongvirae; Uroviricota; Caudoviricetes; Stanwilliamsviridae
Description: tRNA-Pro
Rfam family: tRNA
About the family: Transfer RNA (tRNA) molecules are approximately 80 nucleotides in length. Their secondary structure includes four short double-helical elements and three loops (D, anti-codon, and T loops).
Source: RNAcentral